GACGAACGCUGGCGGCGUGCUUAACACAUGCAAGUCGAACGGAGAAGCGCCUUCCUUUUUGGUGGGAGUGGAUGAGUGGCGAACGGGUGAGUAACACGUUAGUAACCUGCCCCCUCCUUCUGGAUAACCGCAUGAAGGAGUGGCUAAUACGUGAUAUUCUGAGUCUGUCGCAUGAUAGGUCUGGGACAGACUUUGUUUCGGUGGUGGAUGGACUCGCGGCCCAUUAGCUAGUUGGUGGGGUGAUGGCUUACCAAGGCGGCGAUGCAUAGCCGGCCUGAGAGGGUGGUGGGCCGUCCUAGAGGGGAGGCGACGCGGACCAGACUCCGGCGGGAGGCAGCAGUGGGGAUUCCGGCACGAUGGGCGGAAGGCUGGUGCAGCGACGCCUCAGGGGUGAUGGAGUCCUUCUGGUUGUGAACCUCUUUCGCCAGUGAAGCAGGCCUGCCUCGUCUGUGCGUGGGUUGACGGUAGCUGGACAGAAAGCGCCGGCUAACUACGUG
This 497-nucleotide ribosomal RNA is filed under the name uncultured bacterium. RNAcentral's name for it is "partial 16S ribosomal RNA". It matches the Rfam family "Bacterial small subunit ribosomal RNA", at positions 28 to 507 of the family's 1533-position model. The record is from RNAcentral.